UUGGGUAUUUUCUUUCUUUCUUUUUCUUUUUUUGGGGGGGGUGGUGGUGGAUGGAGGCGGGGAGAAGGGCUUGGCAUCGGCUCUCCUGGGCUCAGCCCCCUCCCCUCCGGUCUACAGUCUCGGAGGCGGGGACGGAGCGGCGCCGGCCGUACCCCCAUCUCGGCCGGCGCUGAGCAGUAGCAGGGGCUCCUUCGGAAAUGAAACACCUAAAGGGACUGGGGCGGGGGCGAGGACGGAGGGGGGGCCCGGUGCUCGAAGAUGAGGAGGAGGCAAGGGAGGAGCCUGCCUUAAAGGUUGACCAGGAAAGGCCGUGUUUGAUUUGAGCACUAAAGUGACCCAACUUUCUAGCUGCUGCUGCAAAUUUGGAUACAGUCUACAUUAAAAAACAACAUCAACAAGGACCCUUAAGGGUGUUUUCUCAAGCAGUGGAUUAAAUCAAUGCUUAAUGCUAUGCAAGCCCAGCUGUGUCCAUAUUAGGAGAGUCUGAUCUCACAUCUCUCUGCGGAAAAAAAGGACCAGGAUGUCCUCCCUCUCUUUGCUAUGUUUCCACCCCCAACAUAUGUAGGUGGGAGAGUGGGAGCCUGGGAAUGUGAACUUGAUCCAGCAUUGAUCAGCCAAGCAGCAAACUCUUAUUGUUCUUUAGAUACCAAACAUUAACUCCUUUCUACUAGGGAUAAGCCCAGCUAUUUUGUACAUAACAUAACUUUUGUACUCAGCAGUACGCUUAAGAAGGAAAAGAACCAAAAGACUAUAUCUGACUUGUUAUAAACAACACAUCUGAUGUGCAGAUAUCAGAGACACUUAAAACCAGUUUAUGAAUUCAUUUUUCUUUUUACAAUGGCUAAUUCCAAUCCAUAGGGUCAGUAUAGGGAUUUAUCUUAAUUUUUUUUAAACUAAAGAUGCUUCUAUCUAGCAUUUCUUAGGUCUACUACAUUUCUUUUACUUACCUUUACUCUGGCGUCUAAGAACAUUGGAAACCAUGUUAAUAUUACAUUGGCCACAGCUGUUAAAACCAUUUAAAAGUAUAUAUUCACUGUUUAAUCACAGACUAAGUAGAGAUUGGAACUGUUUUAGCCAGUACUAGCUUAGGUGCUGUAGGCAUAAGUAAACUUAAAAAGAUCACCAAAUAAUCAAAGCUGUAACCUCAUACUAAAAAUGCUUCACCCAUCAAUGACACAAAACACAUGGUGUCAGACAAACCAAUGGCAAACAAUGGGCACCUGCAGCUCUUCAAAUAAAGAUGUGCACAAGGGCACUCUCCCAACAACGACUGCAUGGCAGAAUAAAGCGGAUUCUUUUGGUUAGGUGCUUCACAAAGAGGGACACUUGGUUGACAGCACCAUCUCCAAAUAUCACAACUCUUCUGUGACAGAAAGGCUAGAAACUGCAAUUUGAUAUUUGGCCACCACAUUCCUAAUGGGCCUCAUUUCCAGGUGUCAGCGGUAGCAAGAACAAGAACCACAACACAAGGAAAAUGUAGUUGAGAUGUUUUUACAUUUAUUUUAUAUCCCAUAGACUAAAGGAAAGACAAUUAAUCAAAAAACAUAAUCCAAUGGAUUACUGUACAACCUAUGUACUCUUCUUUUGAGAGAUUAGCAGCUUAUUUAAUCAGAAUCAGAUGUAUCAAAUACAGGUUGCUAUUUUCUAAUUAUAAAAUAAAUGAGGAUGAACAAGAACAGAAGUUUAAAGAAAUGAAGCCCACUGAAAAUACAAGAAAGACUGAAUUUAUGAAGAAAAUUCCAAGAUGGAGAUGUAACUUCAGGCUAUUAAAAAUAAUGAAGUAAUCAUAAUGAUGAUGAUGAUGGCUAACUUUU
This is a non-coding RNA of Phascolarctos cinereus (koala), 1814 nucleotides long. The record is from RefSeq and is a predicted model, not a curated record. NCBI's taxonomy places the organism in Eukaryota, Metazoa, Chordata, Mammalia, Diprotodontia, Phascolarctidae.